This 255-nucleotide ribosomal RNA is filed under the name uncultured bacterium. RNAcentral's name for it is "partial 16S ribosomal RNA". It matches the Rfam family "Bacterial small subunit ribosomal RNA", at positions 524 to 776 of the family's 1533-position model. The record is from RNAcentral.
UACGGGGGGAGCAAGCGUUGUUCGGAUUUACUGGGCGUAAAGGGCGCGUAGGCGGCCACCGCAAGUCAGUUGUGAAAUCUCUGGGCUUAACCCAGAAAGGUCAACUGAUACUGCGGGGCUAGAGUGCAGAAGGGGCAACUGGAAUUCUCGGUGUAGCGGUGAAAUGCGUAGAUAUCGAGAGGAACACCUGCGGCGAAGGCGGGUUGCUGGGCUGACACUGACGCUGAGGCGCGAAAGCUAGGGGGAGCGAACGGG